GACGAACGCUGGCGGCGUGCUUAACACAUGCAAGUCGAACGGAAAGGCCCUGCUUUUGUGGGGUGCUCGAGUGGCGAACGGGUGAGUAACACGUGAGUAACCUGCCCUUGACUUUGGGAUAACUUCAGGAAACUGGGGCUAAUACCGGAUAGGAGCUCCUGCUGCAUGGUGGGGGUUGGAAAGUUUCGGCGGUUGGGGAUGGACUCGCGGCUUAUCAGCUUGUUGGUGGGGUAGUGGCUUACCAAGGCUUUGACGGGGAGCCGGCCUGAGAGGGUGACCGGCCACAUUGGGACUGAGAUACGGCCCAGACUCCUACGGGAGGCAGCAGUGGGGAAUGUUGCACAAUGGGCGGAAGCCUGAUGCAGCAACGCCGCGUGCGGGAUGACGGCCUUCGGGUUGUAAACCGCUUUCGCCUGUGACGAAGCGUGAGUGACGGUAAUGGGUAAAGAAGCACCGGCUAACUACGUG
Molecule: ribosomal RNA, 468 nt
Filed under: uncultured bacterium
Lineage: Bacteria
Description: partial 16S ribosomal RNA
Rfam family: Bacterial small subunit ribosomal RNA
Source: RNAcentral